CUACGGGGUGCAGCAGUGAGGAAUAUUGGUCAAUGGACGAGAGUCUGAACCAGCCAAGUAGCGUGAAGGAUGACUGCCCUAUGGGUUGUAAACUUCUUUUAUAAAGGAAUAAAGUGCUCCACGUGUGGAGUUUUGUAUGUACUUUAUGAAUAAGGAUCGGCUAACUCCGUGCCAGCAGCCGCGGUAAUACGGAGGAUCCGAGCGUUAUCCGGAUUUAUUGGGUUUAAAGGGAGCGUAGAUGGAUGUUUAAGUCAGUUGUGAAAGUUUGAGGCUCAACCUUAAAAUUGCAGUUGAUACUGGAUGUCUUGAGUACAGAUGAGGUAGGCGGAAUUCGUGGUGUAGCGGUGAAAUGCUUAGAUAUCACGAAGAACUCCGAUUGCGAAGGCAGCUUACUAAACUGUAACUGACAUUGAGGCUCGAAAGUGUGGGUAUCAAACAGGAUUAGAUACCCUCGUAGUC
This 459-nucleotide ribosomal RNA is filed under the name uncultured bacterium. Its description in RNAcentral is "partial 16S ribosomal RNA". It matches the Rfam family "Bacterial small subunit ribosomal RNA", at positions 339 to 795 of the family's 1533-position model. The record is from RNAcentral.